This 503-nucleotide ribosomal RNA is filed under the name uncultured bacterium. RNAcentral's name for it is "partial 16S ribosomal RNA". It matches the Rfam family "Bacterial small subunit ribosomal RNA", at positions 30 to 523 of the family's 1533-position model. The record is from RNAcentral.
AUUGAACGCUGGCGGCAGGCUUAACACAUGCAAGUCGAGCGGGGUGAUGGUGCUUGCACUAUCACUUAGCGGCGGACGGGUGAGUAAUGCUUAGGAAUCUGCCUAUUAGUGGGGGACAACAUCUCGAAAGGGAUGCUAAUACCGCAUACGUCCUACGGGAGAAAGCAGGGGAUCACUUGUGACCUUGCGCUAAUAGAUGAGCCUAAGUCGGAUUAGCUAGUUGGUGGGGUAAAGGCCUACCAAGGCGACGAUCUGUAGCGGGUCUGAGAGGAUGAUCCGCCACACUGGGACUGAAACACGGCACAGACUCCUACGGGAGGCAGCAGUGGGGAAUAUUAGACAAUGGGGGGAACCCUGAUCCAGCCAUGCCGCGUGUGUGAAGAAGGCCUUACGGUUGUAAAGCACUUUAAGCGAGGAGGAGGCUCUUUUGGUUAAUACCCAAGAUGAGUGGACGUUACUCGCAGAAUAAGCACCGGCUAACUCUGUGCCAGCCGCCGCAGUAA